GACUGUUCAAACGGCCUACCUAUUGCCAUGGCUCACAAAGGUAUUUUCCUAUCCAAACAUUGGUUGUACAAGAAAGCAGCAUUGAACAGAAAUCCUACACGUUCUAUGGUGAGGGAAAUUCAAUGGUACUUGUUGGAAAGACUGGAGUAGUUAAAUGUGAAACAGGGAAUACAAUAUGUGGAGCAGGAAA
Haliotis rubra (blacklip abalone) is the source of this 190-nucleotide long non-coding RNA. RefSeq lists it as uncharacterized. Lineage: Eukaryota; Metazoa; Mollusca; Gastropoda; Lepetellida; Haliotidae. The transcript has 2 exons. The record is from RefSeq and is a predicted model, not a curated record.